Molecule: ribosomal RNA, 465 nt
Filed under: uncultured bacterium
Lineage: Bacteria
Description: partial 16S ribosomal RNA
Rfam family: Bacterial small subunit ribosomal RNA
Source: RNAcentral
GACGAACGCUGGCGGCGUGCUUAACACAUGCAAGUCGAACGGAAAGGCCCCUUUGGGGGUACUCGAGUGGCGAACGGGUGAGUAACACGUGAGUAACCUGCCCUUGACUUCGGGAUAACUUCAGGAAACUGGGACUAAUACCGGAUAGGAAUCCUUGCUGCAUGGUGGGGGUUGGAAAGCUUCGGCGGUUUUGGAUGGACUCGCGGCUUAUCAGCUUGUUGGUGGGGUAGUGGCUUACCAAGGCUUUGACGGGUAGCCGGCCUGAGAGGGCGACCGGCCACAUUGGGACUGAGAUACGGCCCAGACUCCUACGGGAGGCAGCAGUGGGGAAUAUUGCACAAUGGGCGGAAGCCGGAUGCAGCAACGCCGCGUGCGGGAUGACGGCCUUCGGGUUGUAAACCGCUUUCAGCAGGGGCGAAGCUUGUGGUGACGGUACCUGCAGAAGAAGCACCGGCUAACUACGUG